RNAcentral lists this ribosomal RNA (409 nucleotides) under Bacillota bacterium. RNAcentral's name for it is "Firmicutes bacterium partial 16S ribosomal RNA". It matches the Rfam family "Bacterial small subunit ribosomal RNA", at positions 355 to 776 of the family's 1533-position model. The record is from RNAcentral. Lineage: Bacteria; Bacillati; Bacillota.
UGGGGAAUAUUGCACAAUGGGCGAAAGCCUGAUGCAGCGACGCCGCGUGAGGGAUGACGGCCUUCGGGUUGUAAACCUCUUUCAGCAGGGACGAAGCGCAAGUGACGGUACCUGCAGAAGAAGCACCGGCUAACUACGUGCCAGCAGCCGCGGUAAUACGUAGGGUGCAAGCGUUGUCCGGAAUUACUGGGCGUAAAGAGUUCGUAGGCGGUUUGUCGCGUCGUUUGUGAAAACCAGCAGCUCAACUGCUGGCUUGCAGGCGAUACUGGCAGACUUGAGUACUGCAGGGGAGACUGGAAUUCCUGGUGUAGCGGUGAAAUGCGCAGAUAUCAGGAGGAACACCGGUGGCGAAGGCGGGUCUCUGGGCAGUAACUGACGCGGAGGAACGAAAGCGUGGGUAGCGAACAGG